Molecule: unclassified non-coding RNA, 222 nt
Filed under: Hevea brasiliensis (rubber tree)
Lineage: Eukaryota; Viridiplantae; Streptophyta; Magnoliopsida; Malpighiales; Euphorbiaceae
Source: RNAcentral
GAGGAAAGAGAAACAGCAGGGGAUAUAGGGUUUGAUUUGAUGUUUUACUUUUCCAAGCUAAUUCAAAUCCAGUGUGUUAUUUUGAUUCAAUAUCCAAAUUUUGCUAGAUUUUAGUUGCAUGUCGGUUAUGCCAUAAUAUUGUUUAUGAAUUUUUCAGCGAGACUUCAUAGAGUUUCUUUUGCUUGAUUUUGUGAUGGCCAUUUUCUGUUUUGUUCAAUUUAG